AUUGAACGCUGGCGGNAUGCCUUACACAUGCAAGUCGAACGGCAGCACGGGUGCUUGCACCUGGUGGCGAGUGGCGAACGGGUGAGUAAUACAUCGGAACGUCCUUAUCGUGGGGGAUAACGCAGCGAAAGCUGUGCUAAUCCCGCAUACGCCCUGAGGGGGAAAGCGGGGGAUCGAAAGACCUCGCGCGAUUAGAGCGGCCGAUGCCUGAUUAGCUUGUUGGUGGGGUAAAAGCCCACCAAGGCGACGAUCAGUAGCUGGUCUGAGAGGACGAUUAGCCACACUGGGACUGAGACACGGCCCAGACUCCUACGGGAGGCAGCAGUGGGGAAUUUUGGACAAUGGGGGCAACCCUGAUCCAGCAAUGCCGCGUGAGUGAAGAAGGCCUUCGAGUUGUAAAGCUCUUUUGUCAGGGAAGAAACACCGGCUCUUAACACAGUCCGGGAAUGACGGU
Molecule: ribosomal RNA, 454 nt
Filed under: uncultured Burkholderiales bacterium
Lineage: Bacteria; Pseudomonadati; Pseudomonadota; Betaproteobacteria; Burkholderiales
Description: bacterial SSU rRNA
Rfam family: Bacterial small subunit ribosomal RNA
Source: RNAcentral